This 2399-nucleotide long non-coding RNA is filed under the name Nicotiana benthamiana. Its description in RNAcentral is "long non-coding RNA (NBEN_LNC029110)". The record is from RNAcentral. Lineage: Eukaryota; Viridiplantae; Streptophyta; Magnoliopsida; Solanales; Solanaceae.
UUUUUGAGGUUGGGUGCAUGUUUGGGUUGGAGCCCUAAGGGCUCUGGUGAGUUUCAGAUAGGUGUUAAGUCCAUUUUGUAGCAUUAUAGCAGUUGGUAUCUGCAGUCUUCGCAUUUGCGAAGAUAGCCUUGCAAAUGCGAGACUUCUCCAUUGGCCUGCUAUACCGCAAAUGCGAGGAAUGACUCGCAAAUGCGAUCCUCCCUUUUUAUAGCCAGUCUUCGCCAAUGCGAUCCCCUCUUUAUAGCCCAGUCUUUACAAAUGCGAAGACAUUCUCGUAAAUGCGAGUCCCUUUCAAAUUUGCCCUCUUCAUAAUUGCGAAAAAUUUCUCGCACUUUUCAUCCUAUACUUAGACGAUUUCAAACCUUAAUUUUCAUAUUUUCAAAACCCAAACCUCCAUUGGCGAUUUUCUCUCGACUCCUUCUCCCCAAAUCUAUUGUAAGUCAACUUUUACUCAAUUUAUUCAAUCCUUAACAUCUUUUAUCAUGAUUUCAUUUUAAAAUAAAAGCUUUCAAUGGGUAAAAAUGGGGAUUUGGGGUGGAACCUAGGUUUUCUUAGAAUUGGGGACUUGGACCUCAAUUUGGGGUCCGAUUUCAAAACAAAUUGCAUAUAUGGACUCGUGGGGGAAUGGGUAACCUGGUUUUGGUUCGAACCUCAAGUUUUGACCAUGUGGGUCUGGGGAAAUUUUGAGAAUUUUUGGGUAAAACUUUGGGAAUUUCAUUCUUGUGCAUUUAAAUUGAUUUAACUAGCAUUUGUUGAUACAUUUGAGUAAAUUGUGACUAGAUUCGACCAGUUUUGAAGCGAAUUCGAGGGGUAAAGCUAUUCUAGAGGCGUGAGUUGAGUUUGGAAGCUUUCGAGGUAAGUGUGUGAUCUAACUUUGGCUUGAGGGAAUAGGGUUAGGAUAAUAUUUGCUAUGUACUAUAUGGAGUCGGUGCAUAGGUAUGAUGACGGUUACCUAUGCGCCCGAGUCUAGUAUGACCGUGAGUCAAAAUUGCUAUUAAAAUUUCGAAAGAAGUGAAAAGUUAUGAUAAUUACUUGUUAAAUGAACUAUGAAGUGAUAGUUGAGAAGAAAUGAGCUAAAGAAUGAAUUUGCUAUUUUUCCCUUGCCGGGACUUAUUGUUGAGAUGUUUUCCCUUGCCGGGAUUUAUUGAUGAGUUGUUCUCCCUUGCUGGGACUUGUUGUAGAGUUGUUAUCCCUUGCCGGGAUAUUUUAUCUUGUUGUAUAUUCCUUCCCCGUUUGGUUGUGACCGUUGAUUGGGUGAGGAAGAGAGAGAUUUUGCACAAAGGGUCUUUCCGUGCCACGUUUUGAUAAUUAUGCACGAAUGGUCUUUCCGUUCCAUGUUUCUUGAUUAUUUAAGCACGAAGGGUCAUUCCAUGCCUUGAUAUGAGAGUUAUGUGAGGAAAGCGCGAAGGGUGAUGUCGUGCACUAUGUAUUCAGAGUAAAAGCAUGAAGGGUGGUGCCGUGCGUUAUAUUUGACAGUUUUGGUGAGAAAUGAGUGUAAAAGCAUGAAGGGCGGUACAGUGCAGCUGUUGAUUCACUGGCUCUCUUUUAUUAGUGUUAAAUAUUUUGUUCCCAUUUCUUGUUCGUUGGACUUAUAAUUGAACUUUUACACCCCCAGCAUGUCCCUUUCCCAUUAUCUGCUUAAAAUUUUAUUAUCUUUCUGUUAUUGCACAUAUAUCUGUAUAUGUUAAUUGUGGUAGGCCCGGUUUAGCCUCAUCACUAUCUCGUCGGGGUUAGACCGGGCACUUAUUGGCACAUGAGUUGCGCUGAUACUACACUUCUGUGCCCUUUUCUGCACAUGUCAGGAUACAACUUACAGACCGCAGUAGUAGCUAGGAAACGAGCCUUCAGUCUAGAGACUCCAAGGUAGUUCGCUGGCGCUCGCGGGCCCUGAGUCUCCUCUAUUUCUUCCGUUUGUUUUUAUUGUAUCGAAACAGACUUGUUUUGCAUUUUUCUUUCAGACUGAUGUUUGUAGAACUCUCUUAGUAGUCCGUGAGUAGUGGCACCAGAUGUUGAGUAGUGGUAUGUUAUAGUCUUCCGCACUGUGUUAUUAUUUCUGUUAAAAGUCUUCCGCGUAUUUUUAUUUAAUUAUCUCAGUCAUUAUACUGUUUAGACUAAAGUUUUAUGGAAUAUUUUAAAAGGGUUGAUUUGCCUAGCUCCUACAGUAGGAGUCGUCACGACUCCCGAUGGUGAGAAAAUUCGGGUCGUGACAUAUUUUUAGAUCUAAAUAUUCUAGGUUCUUUAAUUUAUCUAUUUUGUUUAACCUAAUGAUAUCCAAAUUUUUUUGCUUUCAAAGAAUUUUAUUCUUUGAAUUUCUAAAUAUAUUUCCCCCUUUAUAUAUUGUUUUUGCCACUCCAAAAGUGAUAUGAUAUCUUUACUAAUACUAUAUUUUACUAUAUCAC